Molecule: ribosomal RNA, 497 nt
Filed under: uncultured bacterium
Lineage: Bacteria
Description: partial 16S ribosomal RNA
Rfam family: Bacterial small subunit ribosomal RNA
Source: RNAcentral
GACGAACGCUGGCGGCGUGCCUAAUACAUGCAAGUUGAGCGCUGAAGGUUGGUACUUGUACCAACUGGAUGAGCAGCGAACGGGUGAGUAACGCGUGGGGAAUCUGCCUUUGAGCGGGGGACAACAUUUGGAAACGAAUGCUAAUACCGCAUAAAAACUUUAAACACAAGUUUUAAGUUUGAAAGAUGCAAUUGCAUCACUCAAAGAUGAUCCCGCGUUGUAUUAGCUAGUUGGUGAGGUAAAGGCUCACCAAGGCGAUGAUACAUAGCCGACCUGAGAGGGGGAUAGGCCACAUUGGGACUGGGACACGGCCCAAACUCCUACGGGAGGCAGCAGUAGGGAAUCUUCGGCAAUAGACGAAAGUCUGACAGAGCAACGCCGAGCGAGUGAAGAAGGUUUUCGGAGCGUAAAACUCUGUUGGUAGAGAAGAACGGUGGUGAGAGUGGAAAGCGCAUCAAGUGACGGUAACUACACAGAAAGGGACGGCUAACUACGUG